RNAcentral lists this ribosomal RNA (398 nucleotides) under uncultured bacterium. RNAcentral's name for it is "bacterial SSU rRNA". It matches the Rfam family "Bacterial small subunit ribosomal RNA", at positions 28 to 429 of the family's 1533-position model. The record is from RNAcentral.
GACGAACGCUGGCGGCGUGCUUAACACAUGCAAGUCGAGCGGUAAGGCCCUUCCGGGGGUACACGAGCGGCGAACGGGUGAGUAACACGUGGGUGACCUGCCCUCAGCUCUGGGAUAAGCCUGGGAAACCGGGUCUAAUACUGGAUAUGACUCCAUGACGCAUGUUGUGGGGUGGAAAGCCUUGUGCGGCUGAGGAUGGGCCCGCGGCCUAUCAGCUUGUUGGUGGGGUGAUGGCCUACCAAGGCGACGACGGGUAGCCGGCCUGAGAGGGCGACCGGCCACACUGGGACUGAGACACGGCCCAGACUCCUACGGGAGGCAGCAGUGGGGAAUCUUGCGCAAUGGGCGAAAGCCUGACGCAGCGACGCCGCGUGAGGGAUGACGGCCUCGGUUGUAAC